RNA transcript from Gorilla gorilla gorilla (western lowland gorilla), 5196 nucleotides. It is a transcript of the gene named lysophospholipase like 1, with no coding region annotated. Lineage: Eukaryota; Metazoa; Chordata; Mammalia; Primates; Hominidae. The record is from RefSeq and is a predicted model, not a curated record. The transcript has 10 exons.
CAACGCAGGGGCGGAGCCGCAUGACUGGCAGUGGUAUCAGCGAUGGCGGCUGCGUCGCGGUCGGUUCUGCAGCGCUGUAUCGUGUCGCCGGCAGGGAGGCAUAGCGCCUCUCUGAUCUUCCUGCAUGGCUCAGGUGAUUCUGGACAAGGAUUAAGAAUGUGGAUCAAGCAGGUUUUAAAUCAAGAUUUAACAUUCCAACACAUAAAAAUUAUUUAUCCAACAGCUCCUCCCAGAUCAUAUACUCCUAUGAAAGGAGGAAUCUCCAAUGUAUGGUUUGACAGAUUUAAAAUAACCAAUGACUGCCCAGAACACCUUGAAUCAAUUGAUGUCAUGUGUCAGAUGCUUACUGAUUUGAUUGAUGAAGAAGUAAAAAGUGGCAUCAAGAAGAACAGGAUAUUAAUAGGAGGAUUCUCUAUGGGAGGAUGCAUGGCAAUGCAUUUAGCAUAUAGAAAUCAUCAAGAUGUGGCAGGAGUAUUUGCUCUUUCUAGUUUUCUGAAUAAAGCAUCUGCUGUUUACCAGGCUCUUCAGAAGAGUAAUGGUGUACUUCCUGAAUUAUUUCAGUGUCAUGGUACUGCAGAUGAGUUAGUUCUUCAUUCUUGGGCAGAAGAGACAAACUCAACGUUAAAAUCUCUAGGAGUGACCACGAAGUUUCAUAGUUUUCCAGAUGUUUACCAUGAGCUAAGCAAAACUGAGUUAGACGUAUUGAAGUUAUGGAUUCUUACAAAGCUUCCAGGAGAAAUGGAAAAACAAAAAUGAAUGAAUCAAGAGUGAUUUGUUAAUGUCAUUAGCUAUUGUUAGUGUUAGUGUAUUUUUUGUGUGGCCCAAGACAAUCUUCCAGUGUGGCCCAGGGAAGCCAAAAAAUUGGACACACUUGAUGUAAACAUUUCAAGAAAAUUCAGACUAUAUGAUCACUCAAGACAGCUGAUUCACCAGCCUUCUGAAGGGAAGACUAAGCAUAUUCCUAUAUUGAAGGGUGAAGAAAAGGUCACAGUAUUUCUACUAUCAUUAAACCUUGUCAAACAAUGAAUCCAAUGGAAAAGACAAUAUGAUGCAGUCUGAAAUGUUGAGGUCCUGGUUCUAAGACACAUGGAAAAAUAUAAAGUUGAUUUCAUAGCAUAUUACACUACAGUUGUAUGUCUGUGUGGUUUUCAUAGCCCAGCUGGGAAAGAGUGGCUACUGGAAGACUUUGAAAUCACGUGUGCCCUUGUACGUUCUCCUGGACCUAAGAAUGGCAAUAAGAAAAGAUAUCCAUGAUGGUGAUGCCACUAAAUAGAAGCAUCUUGGAUCUUACUACUUGGAGUAGAACCACACAAGGAGAAGCCAUCCAACCUACAUAAGACUAUGACGCUACCAUUGAAAUGGAAAAUUUGCUGGAGAAAGUUGAUUAAGUAACAUUUCACGGAAGAGGAGAAUUGUAAUAACCAUUUGAUAGAAGAGAGAUGUCCUUGAACUCAAUCUAUCCUGAAGAUGCUCCUGAGAGGGCAAACAAAUAACAUCUCUCUGGAAGGAUGCCUGCCUUUGUCAAAGCUUUCAAAUCUGUAUGACUUCUGUCUUUCCUUGGCUUCCCUUACUCAAUUAGUCAAGAAUCCUUGUGGAUGUUUAACAUAAAAUGUCACUCACAUCUGCCCUCCUCCUCAACUUUCCAUUCCAUCCUCUCCACAGAUGCCUGAUGCAUUUUCUUCUGACUCAGUCUUCUGUUUUUCAUGGAGAACAGAGCAAGACAGAAGCUCCCGACUGUGGCAUCCAAGAGCAACUUGAGCUGCUCCCUUACUUAUCUCUGGUAAUGAUUUGAAUCCUUUGCUUUUGCCAGACUGACUCAUCUAGUCAUUGCUCCCCAAAUAUUCAUUUCCCCACUAUUUCUUGUGGCCUAAGCACCAAAUUUUGUUCUUUCAAAAUCUACUCUUCCUUCAGGUCUGGCUCAAAUUCUUUGUGAUGACUGUUCUACCAUAUGGCUUAAUAGCUAAGUACACAUGCAUUGACCUCAAGCCUUCCCACAGCUCAGGUUCCUGAGGCACAGACUCUGGAUGGAAAUUAGCACAUAAUAGGUUUAUUAGAAAGUGCUCUUGGAAUUAACAUCUUUGGAGGAAGAAAAGAAACAAUGUUGUCCAGAGAGGGAACUUGAACUGCAAUGAAGUUGCCACAGAGGCUUCAAUGAAUCCUUCUGGGAGUAGAGCUGGGAUGACCUUUCCAGAGUUUUCCAAUUAAGGGAAUUGUAUCUCACCUCAAUCUCUAGUCUGAACCUUGGGUGAGGCAGCUUCUUUCAGCCAAUGGCAAUUCCUGGAGGCACCAGGAGUUAUGAGCAGUCAACACUCUUUCUUUGCUCCUGAGAAAAUUGAGUGCCCUCUUUCGUCCUGAAAGCAGCUCUGGGCAGCACUCCACAGCAUCUACUACAGACUUAGUGAGUUCACCCUGGCUCUCCCACUUACAGAUUGCAGGUUGCGGCAUGGGAUUGCAUCAGCCUAUGGGGAAGAAAAAGAAGAAAAUAGACAAUCUGCACAGAAUAUGUAAAAGGAGAACCAAAGCCCAAAGAGAAAAAUGCUGAGAAGUCUCCAGCAAAGAAAGUACAGUAAACAACAGCAGGGGCCGGGCGCAGUGGCUCACGCCUGUAAUCCCAGCUACUCAGGAGGCUGAGGCGGGGGAAUCGCUUGAACCCAUUAGGCGGAGAUGGCAGUGAGCCGAGAUAGCACCACUGCACACCACCUCGUGACAGAGCUAGACCCCGUCUCAAAAAACAAAAACAAACAAACAAAAAAAUAGCGGGAGGCGGAGGAGUUUUCCAUAAUCGUACACCUUCUACUGAUGUGCUCUCCAUUAGCCAGCCUUGACUUCACCAACAUCACUGCUUCUCCUCCUCAGGCCUGGGUGGAAUGGGGUUAUGGUGGAGAGCUGCAGAAAAGCUUUAGCCACCCCCAGCUGUUAGAGGGUGCAGCACAACUCGCUUUAACUGCUCAUGUAUUCUACUGGCCCAAGCAGUCUGCAAGGCUGAGAGUGAGUUGAAGAACACUGACUAGGCAAAUGAAGACAAGAAGAAUUUGAAAUGGCGAGGCAAUUGAGGUCCUGAAGAAAUGAAGCACAUGAAGAUGGGGGAGCAGCUCAGAACAUCAGGAGGCAGUAAUGGGAUACUGGGUGCUUGGAGGGGAACGAGAGGUAGUGGCAGUGGAUUUCAUCUGAUCAGCAAUUUUAUUAGACUUAGUGUGACAAAUGGACCAAACAAAGAAACUAUUCUGUUGUUGAUGAUCCCUAUAAUCAUUCCCUAGGAAUAGUGUGAUAUAGUUUGACUGUGUCCCCACUGAAAUCUCAUCUUGAACUGUAGUUCCCACAAUUCCCACAUGGGAGGUAAUUGAAUAAUGGGGACAGUUUUCCCCAUACUAUUCUCUUAGUAGUAAAUACGUCUCUUGAGAGCUGAUGGUUUUAUAAGGGGAAACCCCUUUCACUUGGUUCUCAUUCUCUCUUUGCCUGCCACCAUGUAAGAUGUGCCUUUCAUCUUCCACCAUGAUUUUGAGACCUCUCCAGCCACGUGAAACUGAGUCCAUUAAACCUCUUUCCUUUAUAAAUUACCCAGUCUUGGGUAUGUCUUUAUCAGCAGCGUUGAAAAUGGACUAAUAAAUAGGAAAAUUGAUUUUUAAACUAAAAACUGUUCUUUCAAGACGAGAAUAUUUAUCCUAUACUUCUUGCUGUCUGUUAUCUAAAGGUUUGUCUUACACAUGCCAUGUUUUGCCCCAAAUGCCUGUCCUCACUUCUCUAACCCAGACCAACUUGAACUUUUUCUGUAUAUUUCCUUGUUCAACUGAGGAAACAUACCUCUUGUUGGCUUCUUUCUUACAUGAAAACUGAGCUCCUGUUUCUGACAUCUGGGUUGGCGAUACUUCCGGUUUCUCACUCAUGCACAUCUCUCUGAUCCAGUUUUCUUGGCACUUUUUCUUUCUGACUAGGAAAAAUUUCCUAAGCUGUUCUUGCGGUUAUCAUGCCUUCCUAGGUGAUGUACCCUUCGUGAAUGAUUUUCUUUCUACAUGAUAGUAAGCCUUCAGUCUAGACCUGGUUGUUCUACAUUCUGAUCUAAGAUUCAAUAGAAUUCCCUUCUCUUUGUGCCCACCAUUAUCCUACAUACCAGAAGAAUUGUCAUUUUCUUUUCAUUAAUACUGGCCAGUUGUGGAUUUUUUCUUUUGUCUGAUAGAGUCAUCAUUCAGAUCAUAACUGAUAUCUCACACAUUUUCUUUGAUACUUGAUAUGGAAAUAAAUUAUGAUAUACACAUGCUCACAAAUGGAACCACCCUUACCUUGGGGCACAAUAUCUGUAUAAAUAAGCCACAUUAAUAAACCUCAAUCAAAAUUAUAUACAAUAUCUAUAUCAAUAAGCCAGAAACCUCAACCAAAAUUAUAAAAUUACACUUGUACUACUAGUGCUAAUGUCAUCAUUUGCCAACACAAAAAGUACUUUUGUUGCAAGUAUUUUCUUCUUUCCACUAUUCUAAGUUUGAAUACCUGGGAUUGACUAAAAUUGCAAAACUAGUUCAAUGUUUAAUGUUUUUAGUCAUGAAUAAGUGUCUUGUUUUCUAUCCUUAUUGACUUUUUUUCUUGCUAAUAAUGAAUUUAUUUUAUUUCUUAUACCACAGGGGUUUUCAUAAGUAACUUUCAAUCCUUUUUGGAGCAAAGCAGAAGUUAUUUGGUAAAUUUAUUAAUGUAAAUAUUCUUUUAUUCUCUUUUUUUUGUUCCUUCUCCAUUUUUGUAGUUCAACAUUUUUCAAAUUAGUCUUAAUUAUUUGAUCUGACCAUUGCCAUAACCUGUAAUUGGAUAAAAAAGUCUAGGUACUGGUCUCAGUUUGACACUUAGAAGCAGUAACCUCAGAAUGUUCCUUAACUCUACUUAAUGAAAAGAGGACUGUCCUUAUAAUGAGGACAAAGGGACAAAUAAAUAAAAUCAUAAGUACGAAAAGUCUUAACAUGAUACCUGAAUCAUACUGUAUCCUUAAUAAAUGCUCUUUGAUUCAUGAAUUAUAAAAUAUGAUUUUUUCCAUCCUGAUCUAAUAUUUGUCAUACCUUUAGCAAUGACAAUGCAUGCCUUACAGUGUAAGAUUCCUGGGAACCUUCUUUCUGGCUUAAACAUUUCACCAGGGUCCCAACUGUGAUGUCAUUAAUCAAAUAGGUAUGCAAAAAAUUUUAGAUGUGGACAAAUCCUUUCCUUCAUGAGUAAAUGAAG